GGUCUUAUAAUCUGAAAGAUUUAAAAUUGCAAAUUUUAAUAUAUAAAUAUUUAUUAAGACUU
This 62-nucleotide transfer RNA is filed under the name Cheumatopsyche lepida. RNAcentral describes it as "tRNA-Cys". Lineage: Eukaryota; Metazoa; Arthropoda; Insecta; Trichoptera; Hydropsychidae. The record is from RNAcentral.